Molecule: microRNA, 21 nt
Filed under: Pongo pygmaeus (Bornean orangutan)
Lineage: Eukaryota; Metazoa; Chordata; Mammalia; Primates; Hominidae
Also listed under: 1 other name
Description: ppy-miR-1908
Source: miRBase by way of RNAcentral
CGGCGGGGAAGGCGAUUGGUC